RNAcentral lists this signal recognition particle RNA (142 nucleotides) under Nomascus leucogenys (northern white-cheeked gibbon). RNAcentral's name for it is "Metazoan signal recognition particle RNA". It matches the Rfam family "Metazoan signal recognition particle RNA". Rfam says of the family: The signal recognition particle (SRP) is a universally conserved ribonucleoprotein. It is involved in the co-translational targeting of proteins to membranes. The eukaryotic SRP consists of a 300-nucleotide 7S RNA and six proteins: SRPs 72, 68, 54, 19, 14, and 9. Lineage: Eukaryota; Metazoa; Chordata; Mammalia; Primates; Hylobatidae. The record is from Rfam by way of RNAcentral.
GCUGGGUGCAUGCACCUGUAAUCCCGGCUACUUGGGAGGCUGAGGUGAGAGGAUCACUUGAGCCCAGGAGGUCAGGGCUGCAGUGAGCUGUGAUCAUACCACUGCACUCCAGCCUGGGCAACAGAGUGAGACCCUAUCUUAA